This 497-nucleotide ribosomal RNA is filed under the name uncultured bacterium. RNAcentral describes it as "partial 16S ribosomal RNA". It matches the Rfam family "Bacterial small subunit ribosomal RNA", at positions 28 to 507 of the family's 1533-position model. The record is from RNAcentral.
GACGAACGCUGGCGGCGUGCCUAAUACAUGCAAGUUGAGCGAUGAAGCUUGGUGCUUGCGCCAAUUUGAAGAGCAGCGAACGGGUGAGUAACGCGUGGGGAAUCUGCCUUUGAGCGGGGGACAACAUGUGGAAACGAAUGCUAAUACCGCAUAACAACUUUAAACAUAAGUUUUAAGUUUGAAAGAUGCAAUUGCAUCACUCAAAGAUGAUCCCGCGUUGUAUUAGCUAGUUGGUGAGGUAAAGGCUCACCAAGGCGGUGAUACAUAGCCGACCUGACAGGGUGGGUGGCCGCAUUGGGACUGAGACACGGCCCAAACGCCCACGGGAGGCAGCCAGAGGGAAACUUCGGCAAUGGACGAAAGUCUGAGCGAGCAACGCCGCGUGAGUGAAGAAGGAUUUCGGAUCGGAAAACUCUGUUGGUAGAGAAGAACGUUGGUGAGAGUGGAAAGAUCAUCAAGUGACGGUAACUACCCAGAAAGGGACGGCUAACUACGUG